RNAcentral lists this ribosomal RNA (498 nucleotides) under uncultured bacterium. Its description in RNAcentral is "partial 16S ribosomal RNA". It matches the Rfam family "Bacterial small subunit ribosomal RNA", at positions 29 to 523 of the family's 1533-position model. The record is from RNAcentral.
AUUGAACGCUGGCGGCAUGCUUUACACAUGCAAGUCGAACGGUAACAGGCCGCAAGGUGCUGACGAGUGGCGAACGGGAGAGUAAUGCAUCGGAACGUGCCCAGUCGUGGGGGAUAACGCAGCGAAAGCUGCGCUAAUACCGCAUACGAUCUCUGGAUGAAGGCGGGGGACCGAGAGGCCUCGCGCGAUUGGAGCGGCCGAUGUCAGAUUAGGUAGUUGGUGGGGUAAAGGCCCACCAAGCCAACGAUCUGUAGCUGGUCUGAGAGGACGACCAGCCACACUGGGACUGAGACACGGCCCAGACUCCUACGGGAGGCAGCAGUGGGGAAUUUUGGACAAUGGGCGCAAGCCUGAUCCAGCAAUGCCGCGUGCAGGAAGAAGGCCUUCGGGUUGUAAACUGCUUUUGUACGGAACGAAACGGUCCGGGCUAAUACCCUGGGCUAAUGACGGUACCGUAAGAAUAAGCACCGGCUAACUACGUGCCAGCAGCCGCAGUAA